Molecule: ribosomal RNA, 486 nt
Filed under: uncultured Corynebacterium sp.
Lineage: Bacteria; Bacillati; Actinomycetota; Actinomycetes; Mycobacteriales; Corynebacteriaceae
Description: partial 16S ribosomal RNA
Source: RNAcentral
CACGUAGUUAGCCGGUGCUUCUUCUCCAGGUACCGUCACAUAACGCUUCGUCCCUAGCGAAAGGAGUUUACAACCCGAAGGCCGUCAUCCCCCACGCGGCGUCGCUGCAUCAGGCUUGCGCCCAUUGUGCAAUAUUCCCCACUGCUGCCUCCCGUAGGAGUCUGGGCCGUAUCUCAGUCCCAAUGUGGCCGUACACCCUCUCAGGCCGGCUACCCGUCGACGCCUUGGUAGGCCAUUACCCCACCAACAAGCUGAUAGGCCGCGAGCUCAUCCCACACCGAAAAACUUUCCACCACACCAUCCAAAAUGUGGUCCUAUCCGGUAUUAGACCCAGUUUCCCAGGCUUAUCCCGAAGUGCAGGGCAGAUCACCCACGUGUUACUCACCCGUUCGCCACUCGAGUACCCCUGCAAGCAGGAGCCUUUCCGUUCGACUUGCAUGUGUUAAGCACGCCGCCAGCGUUCAUCCUGAGCCAGGAUCAAACUCU